GACGUAGGGCGCGAGCGUUGUCCGGAUUUAUUGGGCGUAAAGAGCUCGUAGGCGGCUCAUUGCGUCAACCGUGAAAACCAGCAGCUCAACUGUUGGCUUGCGGUUGAUACGGGUGGGCUGGAGUUCGGUAGGGGAGACUGGAAUUCCUGGUGUAGCGGUGAAAUGCGCAGAUAUCAGGAGGAACACCGGUGGCGAAGGCGGGUCUCUGGGCCUGUACUGACGCUGAGGAACGAAAGCGUGGGGAGCGAACAGG
RNAcentral lists this ribosomal RNA (253 nucleotides) under uncultured bacterium. RNAcentral describes it as "partial 16S ribosomal RNA". It matches the Rfam family "Bacterial small subunit ribosomal RNA", at positions 524 to 776 of the family's 1533-position model. The record is from RNAcentral.